RNAcentral lists this ribosomal RNA (556 nucleotides) under uncultured Glomus. RNAcentral's name for it is "SSU rRNA". It matches the Rfam family "Eukaryotic small subunit ribosomal RNA", at positions 548 to 1103 of the family's 1831-position model. Lineage: Eukaryota; Fungi; Glomeromycota; Glomeromycetes; Glomerales; Glomeraceae. The record is from RNAcentral.
UUGGAGGGCAAGUCUGGUGCCAGCAGCCGCGGUAAUUCCAGCUCCAAUAGCGUAUAUUAAAGUUGUUGCAGUUAAAAAGCUCGUAGUUGAACUUCGGGAUUCACCCAUUGGUCAGGCUUAAUUGUCUGUACUGGUGAGAUGAGUCUCUACCUUCUGAGGAACUUUCAUGCCAUUUGCUUGGUGUGAUUGGAAAUCAGGACUGUUACUUUGAAAAAAUUAGAGUGUUUAAAGCAGGCUAACGUCUGAAUACAUUAGCAUGGAAUAAUGAAAUAGGACGGAUUGAUUCUAUUUCGUUGGUUUCUAGGGUCACCGUAAUGAUUAAUAGGGAUAGUUGGGGGCAUUAGUAUUCGAUUGUCAGAGGUGAAAUUCUUGGAUUUAUUGAAGACUAACUACUGCGAAAGCAUUUGCCAAGGAUGUUUUCAUUAAUCAAGAACGAAAGUUAGGGGAUCGAAGACGAUCAGAUACCGUCGUAGUCUUAACCAUAAACUAUGCCGACUAGGGAUCGGACGCAGUUAAUUUUAUAAUGACGUGUUCGGCACCUUAUGGGAAACCAAAG